RNAcentral lists this long non-coding RNA (316 nucleotides) under Elaeis guineensis (African oil palm). RNAcentral describes it as "long non-coding RNA (EGUI_LNC029444)". The record is from RNAcentral. Lineage: Eukaryota; Viridiplantae; Streptophyta; Magnoliopsida; Arecales; Arecaceae.
AUAGCCUAUCAGAAAAAGCCCUCAUCUCAAUAUGAAGCCCAUCAACUCUAUCAGAUAGAGCUCUUACAUCAGCACUAACUCUCAUCAAGAUCAGAUCAGCUAACCUCUCAAGAAAUGCUAUAUCUAGAGUUGCAGGAGGAGGAGUGGAAGCUGGAGGUGCAGCAGGUGAUGCAAGUGAUGCCAGAGCUAAGGUAGGUACGGAUGAAGGAGGGGAGAAGGAUGAAGGUACAGGAGCAGCAAGAGUAGAAGGUUCUCUUGCCUCUGCUACUCUCCAACUCUUCUAACCUGAAACCUUCUUAACCCACCUACCCCCAAC